GAUGAACGCUAGCGGGAGGCUUAACACAUGCAAGUCGAGGGGCAUCACAUGAGGCAGCAAUGCCGAUGGUGGCGACCGGCGCACGGGUGAGUAACACGUAUGCAACCUGCCUUCAACAAGGGGAUAACCCGUUGAAAGACGGACUAAUACCCUAUAACACAGGGGUCCCGCAUGGGAAUAUUUGUUAAAGGACAACCGGUUGAAGAUGGGCAUGCGUUCCAUUAGCUAGUUGGCGGGGUAACGGCCCACCAAGGCAACGAUGGAUAGGGGAACUGAGAGGUUUAUCCCCCACACUGGUACUGAGACACGGACCAGACUCCUACGGGAGGCAGCAGUGAGGAAUAUUGGUCAAUGGACGCAAGUCUGAACCAGCCACGUCGCGUGAAGGAAGACGGCCCUACGGGUUGUAAACUUCUUUUAUACGGGAAUAAAGUGCCCCACGCGUGGGGUUUUGCAUGUACCGUAUGAAUAAGGAUCGGCUA
This 482-nucleotide ribosomal RNA is filed under the name uncultured bacterium. Its description in RNAcentral is "bacterial SSU rRNA". It matches the Rfam family "Bacterial small subunit ribosomal RNA", at positions 28 to 499 of the family's 1533-position model. The record is from RNAcentral.